This 254-nucleotide ribosomal RNA is filed under the name uncultured bacterium. RNAcentral's name for it is "partial 16S ribosomal RNA". It matches the Rfam family "Bacterial small subunit ribosomal RNA", at positions 524 to 776 of the family's 1533-position model. The record is from RNAcentral.
CACGUAGGGUGCGAGCGUUGUCCGGAAUUAUUGGGCGUAAAGAGCUCGUAGGCGGUGUGUCGCGUCGGCCGUGAAAACCUGCAGCUUAACUGUGGGCUUGCGGUCGAUACGGGCAUCACUGGAGUUCGGCAGGGGAGACUGGAAUUCCUGGUGUAGCGGUGAAAUGCGUAGAUAUCAGGAGGAACACCGGUGGCGAAGGCGGCUUUCUGGACAGAUACCGACGCUGAGGCACGAAAGCUAGGGGAGCAAACAGG